RNAcentral lists this ribosomal RNA (497 nucleotides) under uncultured bacterium. RNAcentral describes it as "partial 16S ribosomal RNA". It matches the Rfam family "Bacterial small subunit ribosomal RNA", at positions 28 to 507 of the family's 1533-position model. The record is from RNAcentral.
GAUGAACGCUGGCGGCGUGCCUAAUACAUGCAAGUCGAGCGAACAGACGAGGAGCUUGCUCCUCUGACGUUAGCGGCAGACGGGUGAGUAACACGUGGAUAACCUACCUAUAAGACUGGGAUAACUUCGGGAAACCGGAGCUACUACCGGCUAAUAUAUUGAACCGCAUGGUUCAAUAGUGAAAUACGGUUUUGCUGUCACUUAUAGAUGGAUCCGCGCCGCAUUAGCUAGUUGGUAAGGUAACGGCUUACCAAGGCAACGAUGCGUAGCCGACCUGAGAGGGUGAUCGGCCACACUGGAACUGAGACACGGUCCAGACUCCUACGGGAGGCAGCAGUAGGGAAUCUUCCGCAAUGGGCGAAAGCCUGACGGAGCAACGCCGCGUGAGUGAUGAAGGUCUUCGGAUCGUAAAACUCUGUUAUUAGGGAAGAAAAAAUGUGUAAGUAACUAUGCACGUCUUGACGGUACCUAAUCAGAAAGCCACGGCUAACUACGUG